This 76-nucleotide transfer RNA is filed under the name Chloroflexota bacterium. RNAcentral describes it as "tRNA-Phe". It matches the Rfam family "tRNA". From Rfam's summary of the family: Transfer RNA (tRNA) molecules are approximately 80 nucleotides in length. Their secondary structure includes four short double-helical elements and three loops (D, anti-codon, and T loops). RNAcentral also lists the same sequence under 1 other name. Lineage: Bacteria; Bacillati; Chloroflexota. The record is from RNAcentral.
GCCGAGGUAGCUCAGUUGGUAGAGCAGCGGACUGAAAAUCCGCGUGUCAACAGUUCAAUUCUGUUCCUCGGCACCA